Molecule: long non-coding RNA, 649 nt
Organism: Raphanus sativus (radish)
Lineage: Eukaryota; Viridiplantae; Streptophyta; Magnoliopsida; Brassicales; Brassicaceae
Exons: 5
Source: RefSeq, a predicted model, not a curated record
AAGACACAAAAAAACCCAGUGUUUUGUUUCAUAUGAUUCUCGGCGAGAGAAAACCUCUCUCUUUCUUCUUCGAUGUACAAUCACAAAUGAUGUUUGACAAUAUCAAAGUUAGAUCUGCUCAAGAAAAUUAGAGGAAUUCUUUUACAGUUCGAUCGAAAUAGUUUAUGGAAGAUGUAAGCCUCGAUCGGCCAGAUAUUGUCACGGUUCAAGACCAUACACAGAUUUUAUCGAUUUGUUUUGGGAUCUUGCUUCUUCAAGCAGCCCAGAAUGUCGACAAGCAGAGAGAAACUCCAGAAUCAAUCAUCUUGCGGAAAUACUCAAUCGCUUCUUUGGCUCAUCCGUUUUGUCCACAACCAACAUAUAUCAACGAUAUGAUUAAGAUUGAACAGAUUAGUUCUUAUUGAAUGAUGACUUGAGGAAAUCGAGGUUAUCCGCGCAAAGAGAUCUGAAACUAAUUAGACAACAAAAAGGAUAUCUUUGCAUAUGACGCUGAAGUGGUUUUUAUGUAUCUGAAAAAGAGCUGAAGCAAUUAAAAGACUGUGUUGCCUUCUACAUAUAAAUAAAAUGGCAACAAAAACAUGGAAUACAAAGAUCUGGUGUUUCAUGCUUCUAUGAAGAUCAACUUCUGAUGUGUAUAUAAAAGAUAAGC